This 398-nucleotide long non-coding RNA is filed under the name Pan troglodytes (chimpanzee). RNAcentral's name for it is "long non-coding RNA NONPTRT004587". The record is from RNAcentral. Lineage: Eukaryota; Metazoa; Chordata; Mammalia; Primates; Hominidae.
GCCUAUGUGUGUCUUUGCACAUGAGAUGGGUCCCCUGAAUACAGCAUACCAAUGGAUCUUAACUCUUUAUCCAAUUUGGAGACUGGGUAUUUUAUAAAGAGGAAAGGUUAAGGAGAAAAGUUGCUGCGGGAGGAUAUCUUGGCCCAGAUUUUAAAAGUCAAAGACAGUGGACUGCCUUAUAACCUCAAAUGGUUUCACAUUUCAGUUUGGAGCUGAUCAGUGCAUCCUCUGUGUCCUGAUGCUUAACUUUUCUUUUCUUUUCUUUUCUUUUUGAGAUGGAAUCUCACUCUGUUGCCCAGGCUGUAGUUCAGUGGCAUGAUGUUGGCUCAGUGCAACCUCUACCCGCUGGGUUCAAGUGAUUCUCCUGCCUCAGCCUCCCAAGUAGCUGGGAUUACAGG